RNAcentral lists this non-coding RNA (1328 nucleotides) under Rhizophydium sp. 136. RNAcentral's name for it is "SSU rRNA". It matches the Rfam family "Bacterial small subunit ribosomal RNA". Lineage: Eukaryota; Fungi; Chytridiomycota; Chytridiomycetes; Rhizophydiales; Rhizophydiaceae. The record is from RNAcentral.
AAAUUAAAGUGUAUGAUCAUAGCUCACUAUUUACGCAAUUUAUUAACAUAACACAUGCUAGUAAUGUCUUGAUUGAGCUUAAAAAUCAAGUCAUAUGCAAAGAGGUGAGUAAAAGAUCUAUUUACCCUUAUAUAAUUAAAAACUGAUUAGUCAGUUUUAUAAGGAUAAUUCAUCUAUAGGUUUAGGUAGAUGGGGAUUGAAAGAUCCGCCAUGCCAAUAAUCCUUAGCAAUGGCCACAGAAUUUCAAAAUUAAGAUGAAUAGAUCUUUGAUCAGAAUAUUUCAAAAUUAAUUAAUAAGGAGAAAUUCCCUUUGGCAGCAGUGAGGAAUUUUGGGCAAUGAAUGAAAGUUUGACCCAGUUAAUAAAAGAAUUAAAUCAAAGAAUAAAUUCAAAUUUAUGGAUGUACCUUUGAUAUACACGAUUCUAAUUUUAAAAUAACAUAAUGAGUUUUUAAAAUAUUUAUAUCCUGGCUAAGAUCUGUGCCAGCAGCCGCGGUAAUACAGAUAGGGUAGCGUAAUAGAUAAUAAAUAGGCAUUAAGUGUGAUAAGAUGGUGAAAACUAGAGUAAUAAGAGAAAAAUAGAUGAAUAAUUAAUGUAAGGAUGGAAUCUAUUGAUAUUAAUUAGAAAUUCAAAGAAGUGACAACAUCUUUUUAUCAAAUAAUUACUGACAUUGAAUCACUAAAGUGUGGGGAGCAAAACAGAUUAGAUACCUGAUUAGUCCACACCCUGAAUACUGAAUGUAUGAUUAAGAUUAAAUUCAACUUAAUUGAAAGCAUUCCGCCUCCGUAGUAUUUUGGCAACAAAGAAAUGGAAUUGAUUAGACGGGUCCUAAUAACAGUGGUGGAACAUAUAGUUUAAUUAGAUGAUACUCUAAAAUCUUACCUUCUUUCAGUUUUAAGACUGUUGCUCUUAUUUUAUAAAUUUGAGCUCUUGGUGUUGCAUGGCUGUUGUAAGUUGGUUCAGUGAUGAAUUUAACCAACAAAUCAAACAUCCCAUUGGAACGAAUCAUUUUUUUGGUUCUAAUUUUGAUGUUUUACUACAAGUACUCAUGGCCCAAUAAGAAGGGCUAUAUAUGUGUUACAAAGAUAAUUAUCAAGUCAAUUUUUUGAUUUAACAUUUAUCUCAGUUCUAAUAAUUACCUGUAACUCGGUAAUUUAAAGUCGGAAUCACUAGUAAUCGCUUAAGAAUUAGUAUAAAGCGGUGAAUAAAAAUCUUGGGGUUGUUCUAACUGUCCAUCACAUCCUGUUAUUUUUUAUUAAUAUUUAAAUUCGCGGGAUGAAGUUGUAGCAUGGUAGCUGUUCUGGAAAGAGUAGCUCAAUUUCAUUUAUG